GUGCCCUAAACCAAUCACCUUCCAAAGGGAUGAGGUGGCUUUUGGAGCCAUUUUGGAUUUAACUCAUGACUGAAGGAUUAAUCUACUAUGAGUUUCUUCUCUAUUCCCAGGGAGCACCGAUUUAAGCUGUUCUUUUUUCAGGAUAAGAAGAACCUAGAAAGAAUAUCUGGAAGGAGUUCCCAGAACCC
This 188-nucleotide long non-coding RNA is filed under the name Fukomys damarensis (Damara mole-rat). RNAcentral describes it as "lncRNA (ENSFDAG00000024645.1)". Lineage: Eukaryota; Metazoa; Chordata; Mammalia; Rodentia; Bathyergidae. The record is from RNAcentral.